This 63-nucleotide transfer RNA is filed under the name Rattus norvegicus (Norway rat). It matches the Rfam family "tRNA", at positions 1 to 62 of the family's 71-position model. Rfam says of the family: Transfer RNA (tRNA) molecules are approximately 80 nucleotides in length. Their secondary structure includes four short double-helical elements and three loops (D, anti-codon, and T loops). Lineage: Eukaryota; Metazoa; Chordata; Mammalia; Rodentia; Muridae. The record is from Rfam by way of RNAcentral.
GGGGAUUUAGCUCAGUGGUAGAGCGCUUGCCUAGCACGCACAAGGCCCUGGGUUCAGUCCCCA